This 352-nucleotide transfer-messenger RNA is filed under the name Clostridiales bacterium. It matches the Rfam family "transfer-messenger RNA". From Rfam's summary of the family: Bacterial tmRNA, also known as 10Sa RNA or SsrA, is named for its dual tRNA and mRNA-like properties. Its role is to liberate the mRNA from a stalled ribosome. The record is from RNAcentral. RNAcentral also lists the same sequence under 1 other name. Lineage: Bacteria; Bacillati; Bacillota; Clostridia; Eubacteriales.
GGGGAUGUACAGGUUUCGACAGCGUGGGAAGUGGAUCGAAAAGCACGUGGUAGGGUCGGCUACCUUAAAACGCAAACAAAUUUAAACGCAAAAACAAAUACAGCUUACGCUGUUGCUGCGUAAUUUACACGCAGUCGCUCCCUGCUAUCGAACUGUCGUUUAGCAACGGAGUGUCAUUUUAGACAGUCAACCUUCGCGCCGGUUUGUUCGCUGUCGCGAAAGCCAACAGAACAUCGGGUUCAAAACGUCCGUCAUCCGUCGUCAGAGCCUUAAACCUUACGGUUGACUAAACGUGUAGAAAGCGGUUUGUAACCCACGUUGGAAAGGAGUUCAAUUCUCCUCAUCUCCACCA